Molecule: long non-coding RNA, 1222 nt
Organism: Oncorhynchus kisutch (coho salmon)
Lineage: Eukaryota; Metazoa; Chordata; Actinopteri; Salmoniformes; Salmonidae
Exons: 2
Source: RefSeq, a predicted model, not a curated record
AUGGUGGUGGCCGAGCCGUGUGCUGACCGACCAGCAGGAAUGGGCAGUGUUGGAAAUGGUGAGGACCAGGAAUGACAUACAGCUGUACGGCUGUCCGAAAUAAAGCAGGCCAUUUAGGAGAACGAUGACUGCUUUACCAAUGUGGCGUCCAUCAGCCUACCAACAAUCACUCGCCUUUUGAAGAGGCUCCAGGUAUCUUAGAAACACAUUUACCUGGUGCCUUUUGAGAGAAACAACGACCGGGUGAAACAACUUCAGGCCGAGUAUGUUCAGAGGGUGGUUGUGCUUGAUGCUGCUGUGAACCAUCACAAUAAUAUCUUUGUUGAUGAAGCGGGCUUCCAAAACUGGCCAAACCUCGGCGCCGUGGGCGGAACCUCAUCGGGCCAACAGGUGACCUGGACAACGUGGAGGAAACAUCUCCAGCUAUCUCUGAAGAUGGUGUGGUAGGACGUAGGCCAUUACUUGGGUCCUAAAAUGCUGCACACCUAAUUGUGUUUAUUAAUGAAAUUGAGCAGGCCUGUCAAGGUGAAGGGGUCAUGUUAUUGUGUGGGACAAUGUCAGGUUCAACCAUGCAGAGGUGGUUCAGGCAUGGUUUCGGGCCCAUCCCCGAUUCGUGACCCUAUACCUGCCCCCAUGCUCUCCUUCCCUCAAAUCCUAUUGAGGAUUUUUUUUUAUCAGCAUGGGGGUGGAAGGUGUAUGAUCGCCAUCCCCAUGAGCAUGCCACCCUCCUUCUGGCCAUGGAUGAGGCAUGCGAUGACGUCAAUGCAGACCAAUGUCAAGCUUGGAUUCGCUAUGCCUAAAGGUUUCCCCAUGGUGCAUGAACAAUGAAGACAUUCACUGUGAUGUGGAUUAGAAUGUAUGACCAAAUGCUCAAGAAAGGCUUGGUGCAAUGCUAAACGUUAUGUUUUAUUUUCAUUCAUUUCAUUUGUUACAUUUGAUUACAGACAGUACACCUAUGUUACAAAUGUUUUUUGUUUGUUGCAUGAAUGAUUGUAGAAUAUGUCUUCAUUGAUCACACCUUUGAUUACACAUUGGAUAGAUUUUAUGGAAGUUAUAGAUUUUCUGUCAAUUUUGGUGGGGGUACUGUACGUUUAUUGCCUAAUGUGAAAACGGUAUAAUUUACAAUAUUUGCAUAUUACAUUUCUAAGGGCGAUUUGAAACACCCAUCUUGCAUCGUUUGCUAUUGGAUUAACUGGUAGAUAUAAAACGACUAAAUUGAAAA